RNAcentral lists this ribosomal RNA (486 nucleotides) under uncultured bacterium. RNAcentral describes it as "partial 16S ribosomal RNA". It matches the Rfam family "Bacterial small subunit ribosomal RNA", at positions 29 to 523 of the family's 1533-position model. The record is from RNAcentral.
AAUGAACGCUGGCGGCGUGCUUAACACAUGCAAGUCGAACGGUGACCCUCGGAGCUUGCUUCGGGGUGAACAGUGGCGAACGGGUGAGUAACACGUGAGUAACCUGCCCCUGACUCUGGAAUAAGCGCUGGAAACGGCGUCUAAUACCGGAUAUGACACGAACGGGCAUCCGUAUCGUGUGGAAAGUUUUUCGGUCUGGGAUGGACUCGCGGCCUAUCAGCUUGUUGGUGAGGUAAUGGCUCACCAAGGCGAUGACGGGUAGCCGGCCUGAGAGGGCGACCGGCCACACUGGGACUGAGACACGGCCCAGACUCCUACGGGAGGCAGCAGUGGGGAAUAUUGCACAAUGGGCGAAAGCCUGAUGCAGCGACGCCGCGUGAGGGAUGACGGCCUUCGGGUUGUAAACCUCUUUCAGCAGGGAAGAAGCGAAAGUGACGGUACCUGCAGAAGAAGCACCGGCUAACUACGUGCCAGCAGCCGCCGUAA